Molecule: ribosomal RNA, 180 nt
Filed under: uncultured Bacteroidota bacterium
Lineage: Bacteria; Pseudomonadati; Bacteroidota
Description: uncultured Bacteroidetes bacterium partial 16S ribosomal RNA
Rfam family: Bacterial small subunit ribosomal RNA
Source: RNAcentral
UACGGGAGGCAGCAGUAGGGAAUAUUGGGCAAUGACGCAAGUCUGACCCAGCCAUGCCGCGUGCAGGAUGAAGGCGUUAUGCGUUGUAAACUGCUUUUAUACAGGAAGAAACGACUCUUGCGAGAGGCAUUGACGGUACUGUAUGAAUAAGCACCGGCUAACUCGUGCCAGCCCCGCGGU